Molecule: transfer RNA, 75 nt
Filed under: candidate division MSBL1 archaeon SCGC-AAA259A05
Lineage: Archaea; Methanobacteriati; Methanobacteriota
Also listed under: 1 other name
Description: tRNA-Thr
Rfam family: tRNA
About the family: Transfer RNA (tRNA) molecules are approximately 80 nucleotides in length. Their secondary structure includes four short double-helical elements and three loops (D, anti-codon, and T loops).
Source: RNAcentral
GCCCCGGUGGCUCAGUGGUAGAGCGCGCCCUUGGUAAGGGCGAGGUCGCGGGUUCGGCUCCCGCCCGGGGCUCCA